RNAcentral lists this ribosomal RNA (443 nucleotides) under uncultured bacterium. RNAcentral's name for it is "partial 16S ribosomal RNA". It matches the Rfam family "Bacterial small subunit ribosomal RNA", at positions 338 to 795 of the family's 1533-position model. The record is from RNAcentral.
CCUACGGGUGGCAGCAGUGGGGAAUAUUGCACAAUGGGGGAGACUCUGAUGCAGCAACGCCGCGUGAAGGAUGACGGUUCUAUGAUUUGAAACCUCCAUCUAUAGGGAAGUAAGAAAUGACGGUACCUAAAUAAGAAGCCCCGUCUAACUACGUGCCAGCAGCCGCGGUAAUACGUAGGGGGCGAGCGUUAUCCGGAAUUACUGGGUGUAAAGGGAGAGUAGGCGGGAAGGUAAGCGAUAUGUGAAAGUCUUACGCUUAACUGUAUGAUUGCAUAAGGUACUAGCUGGCUAGAGUACAGGUGAGGAAAGCGGAAUUCGUAGUGUAGCGGUGAAAUGCGUAGAUAUCAGGAAGAACACCAGUUGCGAAGGCAGCUUACUAGACUGACACUGACACUGAGGCUCGAAAGUGUGGGGAGCGAACAGGAUUAGAUACCCUUGUAGUC